UACGAAGGGGGCGAGCGUUGUUCGGAAUCACUGGGCGUAAAGCGUGCGUAGGCGGCGAUGAAAGUUAGGAGUGAAAGCCCAGGGCUUAACCUUGGAAUUGCUUUUAAAACUACAUCGCUCGAAUCUCGGAGAGGAUAGCGGAAUUGUCAGUGUAGCAGUGAAAUGCGUAGAUAUUGACAGGAACACCAGUGGCGUAGGCGAGACUCUGGACAGUUCCUGACGCUGAGGCACGAAGGCCAGGGGAGCAAACGGG
RNAcentral lists this ribosomal RNA (253 nucleotides) under uncultured bacterium. Its description in RNAcentral is "partial 16S ribosomal RNA". It matches the Rfam family "Bacterial small subunit ribosomal RNA", at positions 524 to 776 of the family's 1533-position model. The record is from RNAcentral.